GAUGAACGCUGGCGGCGUGCCUAAUACAUGCAAGUCGAGCGAACGGACGAGAAGCUUGCUUCUCUGAUGUUAGCGGCGGACGGGUGAGUAACACGUGGAUAACCUACCUAUAAGACUGGGAUAACUUCGGGAAACCGGAGCUAAUACCGGAUAAUAUUUUGAACCGCAUGGUUCAAAAGUGAAAGACGGUCUUGCUGUCACUUAUAGAUGGAUCCGCGCUGCAUUAGCUAGUUGGUAAGGUAACGGCUUACCAAGGCAACGAUGCAUAGCCGACCUGAGAGGUGGGUCGCCCACAUGGGAGCUGGACCCGGCCCAACCCCCCUGCGGGAGGCACCAGAGGGGUACCUUCCGCAAGGGGCGAGACCCGGACGGACCACGCCCGCGGGGGUGACAAAGUCUUUGGGUGAUUAAACCUUUUUUUUGGGGAAAAAACAUUUGUGAAAGUACCUGUACACAUUGUGACGGUACCUAACAAAAAGGCCCGGGCUAACUCCGUC
This 497-nucleotide ribosomal RNA is filed under the name uncultured bacterium. RNAcentral describes it as "partial 16S ribosomal RNA". It matches the Rfam family "Bacterial small subunit ribosomal RNA", at positions 28 to 507 of the family's 1533-position model. The record is from RNAcentral.